RNAcentral lists this ribosomal RNA (253 nucleotides) under uncultured bacterium. RNAcentral's name for it is "partial 16S ribosomal RNA". It matches the Rfam family "Bacterial small subunit ribosomal RNA", at positions 524 to 776 of the family's 1533-position model. The record is from RNAcentral.
UACGAAGGGGGCUAGCGUUGCUCGGAAUCACUGGGCGUAAAGGGUGCGUAGGCGGGUCUUUAAGUCAGGGGUGAAAUCCUGGAGCUCAACUCCAGAACUGCCUUUGAUACUGAGGAUCUUGAGUUCGGGAGAGGUGAGUGGAGCUGCGAGUGUAGAGGUGAAAUUCGUAGAUAUUCGGAAGAACACCAGUGGCGAAGGCGACACACUGGCUCACUACUGACGCUGAGGCGCGAAAGCGUGGGGAGCAAACAGG